Molecule: ribosomal RNA, 440 nt
Filed under: uncultured bacterium
Lineage: Bacteria
Description: partial 16S ribosomal RNA
Rfam family: Bacterial small subunit ribosomal RNA
Source: RNAcentral
CCUACGGGAGGCUGCAGUGGGGAAUAUUGCACAAUGUGGGGAACCCUGAUGCAGCGACGCCGCGUGAGUUAAGAAAUAUUUCGGUAUGUAAAGCUCUAUCAGCAGGGAAGAAAAUAAUGGUACCUUACUAAGACGCCCCUGCUAACUACGUGCCAGCAGCCGCGGUAAUACGUAGGGGGCAAGCGUUAUCCGGCUUGACUGGGUGUAAAGGGAGCGUAGACGGUUAUGCAGGUCUGAAGUGAAAGCCCAAGGCUCAACCAUGGGAUUGCUUUGGAAACUGUAAAACUGGAGUGCAGGAGAGGUAAGCGGAAUUCCUGGGGUAGCGGUGAAAUGCGUAGAUAUUAGGAGGAACACCAGUGGCGAAGGAGGCGUAAUGGACUGUAACUGACGUUGAGGCUCGAAGGCGUGGGGAGCAAACAGGAUUAGAUACCCGGGUAGUC